Molecule: long non-coding RNA, 1001 nt
Filed under: Carassius auratus (goldfish)
Lineage: Eukaryota; Metazoa; Chordata; Actinopteri; Cypriniformes; Cyprinidae
Description: lncRNA (ENSCARG00000066437.1)
Source: RNAcentral
GCAAUCCCCCUCCACCACCUCGGACAGUCUGAUCACCUUUCUUUGUUUCUCACUCCUAAGUAUUCACCCCUCAUCAACCGUGUGAAGCCAUCAGUGAGGACCAUCAAAGUGUGGCCAACUGGAGCAGACUCUUUACUUCAAGACAGGUUUCAACACACUGACUGGAGUAUGUUUGCUUCUCAGGCUGCCUGUGGCUCUCACACGGACAUUGAUAUCUACACCUCCUCUGUACUGGAUCACAUCAACACCACCAUUGAAAGUGUUACAACAGAAAAACAGAUAACAACAUACCCUAAUCAGAAGCCAUGGAAGAACAAGGAGGUGCGACUUCUGCUGAAAGCCCCGCAACUCUGCCUUCAGGUCAGAUGACACUCAGGCCUACAGUAAAUCCAGGGCUAACCUGAAAAAGGGCAUCAAAAAAGGCCAAGUAUUGCACAAGCUGAAGGUAGAGGAACACUUUUCCAACUCUGACCCCCAACACUUGUGGCAGGGCAUCCAGAUCAUCAGUGACUACAAGUCAAGCAACUCCACUCCAACGGUCCCGGAUGUCUCCUUCCUUAACGAGCUAAAUUACUUUUCUGCUCGCUUCAACAGCGACAGCAAGGAGACGGCCACCAAAAUUACACACUCAGCAGACCACCAACCUCUCAAACUCACCUCCACAGAUGUCCACACUGCACUGAGCCGGAUCAACGAAUGCAAGGCUGCUGGCCCGGAUAGCAUCCCUGGAUGUGUGCUUAGGGCAUGUGCAGAGCAGCUUGCAGGGGUCUUCACAGACAUUUUCAACCUGUCCCUCACCCAAGCAACUGUGCCAACAUGUUUUAAGUCCACAUCCAUUGUGCCAGUACCGAAACACUCCUCCCCAAUGUGCCUAAAUGACUAUCGCCCAGUAGCACUCACACCUAUUACUAUGAAGUCCUUUGAGCGACUGGUCCUAGCACACCUCAAAGACUGCCUCCCACCCACACUGGACCCACACCAAUUUGCCUACUGCAGAAAUA